GUGGGGAAUUUUGGACAAUGGGCGCAAGCCUGAUCCAGCAAUGCCGCGUGCAGGAAGAAGGCCUUCGGGUUGUAAACUGCUUUUGUACGGAACGAAACGGUCCUGGUUAAUACCUGGGGCUAAUGACGGUACCGUAAGAAUAAGCACCGGCUAACUACGUGCCAGCAGCCGCGGUAAUACGUAGGGUGCAAGCGUUAAUCGGAAUUACUGGGCGUAAAGCGUGCGCAGGCGGUUUUGUAAGACAGGCGUGAAAUCCCCGGGCUCAACCUGGGAAUUGCGCUUGUGACUGCAAGGCUGGAGUGCGGCAGAGGGGGAUGGAAUUCCGCGUGUAGCAGUGAAAUGCGUAGAUAUGCGGAGGAACACCGAUGGCGAAGGCAAUCCCCUGGACCUGUACUGACGCUCAUGCACGAAAGCGUGGGGAGCAAACAGGAUUAGAUACCCCAGUAGUCC
Molecule: ribosomal RNA, 450 nt
Filed under: uncultured bacterium
Lineage: Bacteria
Description: bacterial SSU rRNA
Rfam family: Bacterial small subunit ribosomal RNA
Source: RNAcentral